RNAcentral lists this ribosomal RNA (1313 nucleotides) under Candidatus Phytoplasma solani. Its description in RNAcentral is "16S ribosomal RNA". It matches the Rfam family "Bacterial small subunit ribosomal RNA", at positions 217 to 1533 of the family's 1533-position model. Lineage: Bacteria; Bacillati; Mycoplasmatota; Mollicutes; Acholeplasmatales; Acholeplasmataceae. The record is from RNAcentral.
GCUUAGGGAAGAGCUUGCGUCACAUUAGUUAGUUGGUGGGGUAAAAGCCUACCAAGACGAUGAUGUGUAGCCGGGCUGAGAGGUCAAACGGCCACAUUGGGACUGAGACACGGCCCAAACUCCUACGGGAGGCAGCAGUAAGGAAUUUUUGGCAAUGGAGGAAACUCUGACCGAGCAAUGCCGCGUGAACGAUGAAGUAUUUCGGUACGUAAAGUUCUUUUAUUAGGGAAGAAAAAAUGGUGGAAAAACCAUUAUGACGGUACCUAAUGAAUAAGCCCCGGCUAACUAUGUGCCAGCAGCCGCGGUAAUACAUAGGGGGCAAGCGUUAUCCGGAAUUAUUGGGCGUAAAGGGUGCGUAGGCGGUUAAAUAAGUUUAUGGUCUAAGUGCAAUGCUUAACGUUGUGAUGCUAUAAAAACUGUUUAGCUAGAGUUGGAUAGAGGCAAGUGGAAUUCCAUGUGUAGUGGUAAAAUGCGUAAAUAUAUGGAGGAACACCAGGAGCGAAGGCGGCUUGCUGGGUCUUAACUGACGCUGAGGCACGAAAGCGUGGGGAGCAAACAGGAUUAGAUACCCUGGUAGUCCACGCCCUAAACGAUGAGUACUAAACGUUGGGUAAAACCAGUGUUGAAGUUAACACAUUAAGUACUCCGCCUGAGUAGUACGUACGCAAGUAUGAAACUUAAAGGAAUUGACGGGACUCCGCACAAGCGGUGGAUCAUGUUGUUUAAUUCGAAGGUACCCGAAAAACCUCACCAGGUCUUGACAUGCUUUUGCAAAGUUGUAGAAAUACAGUGGAGGUUAUCAGAAGCACAGGUGGUGCAUGGUUGUCGUCAGCUCGUGUCGUGAGAUGUUGGGUUAAGUCCCGCAACGAGCGCAACCCUGUUGUUAAUUGCCAUCAUUAAGUUGGGGACUUUAGCAAGACUGCCAGUGAUAAAUUGGAGGAAGGUGGGGACGACGUCAAAUCAUCAUGCCCCUUAUGACCUGGGCUACAAACGUGAUACAAUGGCUGUUACAAAGGGUAGCUAAAGCGUAAGCUUCUGGCGAAUCUCAAAAAAGCAGUCUCAGUUCGGAUUGAAGUCUGCAACUCGACUUCAUGAAGUUGGAAUCGCUAGUAAUCGCGAAUCAGCAUGUCGCGGUGAAUACGUUCUCGGGGUUUGUACACACCGCCCGUCAAACCACGAAAGUUGGCAAUACCCAAAGCCGGUGGCCUAACUUGAGCAAUCAAGAGGGAGCCGUCUAAGGUAGGGUUGAUGAUUGGGGUUAAGUCGUAACAAGGUAUCCCUACCGGAAGGUGGGGAUGGAUCACCUCCUUUCU